AUUGAACGCUGGCGGCAUGCCUUACACAUGCAAGUCGAACGGCAGCACGGGUGCUUGCCCCUGGUGGCGAGUGGCGAACGGGUGAGUAAUACAUCGGAACAUGUCCUGUAGUGGGGGAUAGCCCGGCGAAAGCCGGAUAAAUACCGCAUACGAUCCACGGAUGAAAGCGGGGGACCUUCGGGCCUCGCGCUAUAGGGUUGGCCGAUGGCUGAUUAGCUAGUUGGUGGGGUAAAGGCCUACCAAGGCGACGAUCAGUAGCUGGUCUGAGAGGACGACCAGCCACACUGGGACUGAGACACGGCCCAGACUCCUACGGGAGGCAGCAGUGGGGAAUUUUGGACAAAGGGCGAAAGCCUGAUCCAGCAAUGCCGCGUGUGUGAAGAAGGCCUUCGGGUUGUAAAGCACUUUUGUCCGGAAAGAAAUCCUUGACUCUAAUACAGUCGGGGGAUGACGGUACCGGAAGAAUAAGCACCGGCUAACUACGUG
RNAcentral lists this ribosomal RNA (486 nucleotides) under uncultured bacterium. RNAcentral's name for it is "partial 16S ribosomal RNA". It matches the Rfam family "Bacterial small subunit ribosomal RNA", at positions 30 to 507 of the family's 1533-position model. The record is from RNAcentral.